UACAGAGGUCUCAAGCGUUGCUCGGAAUCACUGGGCGUAAAGGGCGCGUAGGCGGGAUGGCAAGUCGGUCGUGAAAUCCUUCGGCUCAACCGAAGAACGUCGGCCGAUACUGCCGUUCUUGAGGGAUGCGGAGGAGAUUGGAAUUCCCGGUGUAGCGGUGAAAUGUGUAGAGAUCGGGAGGAACACCGGUGGCGAAGGCGGGUCUCUGGGCAUCUCCUGACGCUGAGGCGCGAAAGCGUGGGGAGCAAACGGG
RNAcentral lists this ribosomal RNA (253 nucleotides) under uncultured bacterium. Its description in RNAcentral is "partial 16S ribosomal RNA". It matches the Rfam family "Bacterial small subunit ribosomal RNA", at positions 524 to 776 of the family's 1533-position model. The record is from RNAcentral.